UCGAGAAUCUUUCGCAAUGCCCGAAAGGGUGACGAAGCGACGCCGCGUGCGGGAAGAAGGCCUUCGGGUUGUAAACCGCUGUCGGGAGUUAGGAAAUGCAAGGAUGUUAAUAGCAUUCUUGCUUGACUAAGGCUCCGGAGGAAGCCACGGCUAACUCUGUGCCAGCAGCCGCGGUAAUACAGAGGCGGCAAGCGUUGUUCGGAAUUAUUGGGCGUAAAGAGCACGUAGGCGGCUGUGUAAGUCGGUUGUGAAAGCCUUCCGCUUAACGGAAGAACGGCAUCCGAUACUGCAUAGCUUGAGUGCGGGAGGGGAGAGUGGAACUUCUGGUGGAGCGGUGAAAUGCGUAGAUAUCAGAAGGAACACCGGCGGCGAAGGCGACUCUCUGGUCCGUAACUGACGCUGAGUGUGCGAAAGCUAGGGGAGCAAACGGGAUUAGAUACCCCGGUAGUCCUAGCCGUAAACGAUGGG
RNAcentral lists this ribosomal RNA (468 nucleotides) under uncultured anaerobic ammonium-oxidizing bacterium. Its description in RNAcentral is "bacterial SSU rRNA". It matches the Rfam family "Bacterial small subunit ribosomal RNA", at positions 355 to 813 of the family's 1533-position model. The record is from RNAcentral.